Long non-coding RNA from Ictalurus punctatus (channel catfish), 1011 nucleotides. The record is from Ensembl. NCBI's taxonomy places the organism in Eukaryota, Metazoa, Chordata, Actinopteri, Siluriformes, Ictaluridae.
UGUGUCGCCUGGGUCUGACGUCUCUCUCUCUCUCUCUCUCUCUCUCUCUGUACAUCUCUGAGUGUGUGUGUAAACAGGAUGAUGGAAGCUCACUCUCGUCCUCAAACCAUCACAUCAUCGUAAGUAACACACUGUGACGUUUGCGUACGUCAUGCAGCUCGAUGAAACAGACAGUGUAUUUGCUGAUCUGAACUCGGUGAUUCCUGAGACAGAGCUGCUGGAUAACAGCAUACAGAAGAGCCGAGCACCGCUACCGCUGAAGAGCAGGAGGAACCGACCAUCACGCUCGCGUCUCACUGACAGCCUGAGCUCCACCGAGGGGACGAGGGGCCCGACACCAGGUCUGCAGACACGCCCCUCCACUCAGCUCCAGUGCACUCGUUCCUCCGUGACUCCACCCUCACGCCAGAGCUCCUCCUCUCCUCCUUUGACGCUGCCCUCGCGCGCAGAUCUCCGGAGGACCCUAAAGCUCAUCGUUACCGUCAGCUCACCAACACCACAUCCCACGAUGCACUGCUGCCCCCCGUCCCGCCCUCCCCCUGCAGGUCAUGUCCCGAAACCUCCCCUGUGCACUUCCGCAGGGGCCGACGCCCUGAAAGUGAAGGUAAUUAUUAUUAUUAGCAUUAGCCAGCAUGAACUUCUUCAGCAGUUUGUGCUGCAGUAGAUCUUCUGUGAGAUCGGACCAGACGGACUAGCCUUCUCUCCUCACGCACAUCACUGAGCCUUGUACACUCAUGACCCUGUCGCCGGUUCUCCUUCCUUGGAGCGCUUUUGGUAGGUACUAACCCCUGCACACAGGGAACACCCCACAACACCUGCGGUUCUGGAGACGCUCUGACCCAGACGUCUAGACAUCACAAUCUGACCCGUGUUGAAGUCUCUCAGAUCCUUACACUCGCCCAUUUCUCCUGCUUCCAGCACGUCACCUUCCACAACUGACUGUUCACCUGCUGCCUAAUAAAUAUAUACCCCCCUCUACAGGUGUCUCUGUAACGAGAUCAUCAACGUUAU